This 497-nucleotide ribosomal RNA is filed under the name uncultured bacterium. RNAcentral's name for it is "partial 16S ribosomal RNA". It matches the Rfam family "Bacterial small subunit ribosomal RNA", at positions 28 to 507 of the family's 1533-position model. The record is from RNAcentral.
GAUGAACGCUGGCGGCGUGCCUAAUACAUGCAAGUCGAGCGAACGAACGAGAAGCUUGCUUCUCUGAUGUUAGCGGCGGACGGGUGAGUAACACGUGGAUAACCUACCUAUAAGACUGGGAUAACUUCGGGAAACCGGAGCUAAUACCGGAUAAUAUUUUGAACCGCAUGGUUCAAAAGUGAAAGACGGUCUUGCUGUCACUUAUAGAUGGAUCCGCGCUGCAUUAGCUAGUUGGUAAGGUAACGGCUUACCAAGGCAACGAUGCAUAGCCGACCUGAGAGGGUGAUCGGCCACACUGGAACUGAGACACGGUCCAGACUCCUACGGGAGGCGGCAGUAGGGAAUCUUCCGCAAUGGGCGAAAGCCUGACGGAUCAACGCCGCGUGAGUGAUGAAGGUCUUCGGGUCGUAAAACUCUGUUAUUAGGGAAGAACAUAUGUGUAAGUAACUGUGCACAUCUUGACGGUACCUAAUCAGAAAGCCACGGCUAACUACGUG